UGGUGAUUUUAUGAGACUGCCCCACU
This 26-nucleotide non-coding RNA is filed under the name Homo sapiens (human). The record is from RNAcentral. Lineage: Eukaryota; Metazoa; Chordata; Mammalia; Primates; Hominidae.